CAGGAUGUUGUUUGAAUUGCUUGUCCUAACAGGUGCACAAGUUGGGAUGGAUUAGAUUUCUAUCUUGAGAAAACGCCAUGAUUUCAGGGCUGCUUUCACCGGGUUUGAUGCAGAAAUCGUCGUCAACUUCACAGAAAGACAAAUAACAUUAGUGGCCACAGAUUGUAACCUGGAUUUAAACAAGGUUUGAGGUGCCAUCAAUAAUGCUAACAAAAUCUUCCAGGAUAAAUUUGACUUGGAUUUGAGUGUUCCGCACAUCUC
Magnolia sinica is the source of this 261-nucleotide long non-coding RNA. RefSeq lists it as uncharacterized. Lineage: Eukaryota; Viridiplantae; Streptophyta; Magnoliopsida; Magnoliales; Magnoliaceae. The transcript is spliced from 3 exons. The record is from RefSeq and is a predicted model, not a curated record.